This is a long non-coding RNA of Gadus macrocephalus (Pacific cod), 696 nucleotides long. RefSeq lists it as uncharacterized. The record is from RefSeq and is a predicted model, not a curated record. The transcript has 3 exons. Lineage: Eukaryota; Metazoa; Chordata; Actinopteri; Gadiformes; Gadidae.
AGGACAGUGUCCUUGCAUACCAUGAGGUUGUCUGUGUUACAAACUGUCCUCACAUAACAUGAAUAUUCCCCUGUCUCACAUACAGAUGUAGAAACUACAGCACUUGCUUGUAAAGUGGCUAGUUAAGGAAUAUCGUUUUUUUCUCUUUAAUACACAUUCUUACUUGUGGCAUCAAUAUGUACCUAUAUGGUGCAUUGUCAGCUGUUUCCUGCGGCUUGAUGCUGAAAUUUGUUAUGCAGUGACAUGCCUCCCUUAUCCAAAAUGAUUGCUAAAUCUUAUUAAAUAUUCUGUCUUUGCACAUACUGUAUGGAGUAUUCCCAUCUGUACCAGUUGAUGCCUGUUAAUCUUUGCAUAUUGCUGUUCAUUAUUUUUAGGUGCACUGUGUCAGCGGUCAAAGUGGCACUUCUUCUGCGAAAGAGGGGAUUGGAGAAGUUGGUGUCCAGCACCAGGAGGUGUCAUCCCCUGUGUUCUCAGCAGACCUUGCCAGUGAUGACCAAGGGAACUCUGCCUGUGUAACUUCUGGUUCACCUCAUCUCCCUGACUCAGUUACUCAAGGUUUCCGUGUUUCAUCAAGGCGGUGUACGAAGAGACCAUGGUCUGGUCAGGAGAUACAAGCCGUGAUGAAACAUCUGAGGCCUUUUGUUGAAAACGGUGUCACUGCCACCAGUGGGCAGUGCCUGCAGUGCAAGGAAAAGG